Molecule: ribosomal RNA, 301 nt
Filed under: uncultured bacterium
Lineage: Bacteria
Description: partial 16S ribosomal RNA
Rfam family: Bacterial small subunit ribosomal RNA
Source: RNAcentral
CAGUCGCCGCGGGAAUACGUAGGGCGCAAGUGUUAUCCGGAAUUAUUGGGCGUAAAGGGCUCGCAGGCGGUUUCUUAAGUCUGAUGUGAAAGCCCCCGGCUCAACCGGGGAGGGUCAUUGGAAACUGGGAAACUUGAGUGCAGAAGAGGAGAGUGGAAUUCCACGUGUAGCGGUGAAAUGCGUAGAGAUGUGGAGGAACACCAGUGGCGAAGGCGACUCUCUGGUCUGUAACUGACGCUGAGGAGCGAAAGCGUGGGGAGCGAACAGGAUUAGAUACCCCUGUAGUCCCUGUCUCUUAUAC